CCAACGGCCCUCUUUAGGGCCACAAAUCUAUGAAUUGUGCUUGGAC
This is a non-coding RNA of Loa loa (African eye worm), 46 nucleotides long. The record is from Rfam. Lineage: Eukaryota; Metazoa; Nematoda; Chromadorea; Rhabditida; Onchocercidae.